GUGCUGCAUUUCGGCAGCACAUAUACUUAAAUUGGAACAGAGAAGAUUAGCAUGGGUCCCGUGCAAGGAUGACAUGCAAAUUCAUAAGAACAUAAAGAGCGCA
This is a small nuclear RNA of Pelodiscus sinensis (Chinese soft-shelled turtle), 103 nucleotides long. The record is from Ensembl. Lineage: Eukaryota; Metazoa; Chordata; Testudines; Trionychidae.